Molecule: ribosomal RNA, 301 nt
Filed under: uncultured bacterium
Lineage: Bacteria
Description: partial 16S ribosomal RNA
Rfam family: Bacterial small subunit ribosomal RNA
Source: RNAcentral
CAUCGCCGCGGUAAUACGAAGGGUGCAAGCGUUAAUCGGAAUUACUGGGCGAAAAGCGUGCGUAGGCGGUUUGUUAAGUCUGUUGUGAAAUCCCCGGGCUCAACCUGGGAAUGGCAAUGGAUACUGGCAAGCUAGAGUGUGUCAGAGGAUGGUGGAAUUCCCGGUGUAGCGGUGAAAUGCGUAGAGAUCGGGAGGAACAUCAGUGGCGAAGGCGGCCAUCUGGGACAACACUGACGCUGAGGCACGAAAGCGUGGGGAGCAAACAGGAUUAGAUACCCCAGUAGUCCCUGUCUCUUAUACA